CAGCACUGAGAGCACAACUCUGCUGCUCUCCCAUCAUGUUAAACUCUUAUGCAGCUCUAGCCUGGGAGGCUCAGUGGCAGCAGGAAUGCAUUCUCUGCACACAGGUCACAUGGUACAGCUUUACUUCACCCGGCUGAGUAAAGCAAAUCAUAUCUGUUACCUGAUCUUUCAGGUUCAAAAAUGUUUUUUGUUUUUUUUUUUUGGGUGGGGGG
This is a long non-coding RNA of Anguilla rostrata (American eel), 212 nucleotides long. RefSeq lists it as uncharacterized. The record is from RefSeq and is a predicted model, not a curated record. The transcript has 2 exons. NCBI's taxonomy places the organism in Eukaryota, Metazoa, Chordata, Actinopteri, Anguilliformes, Anguillidae.